UUAUGACUACACACACAUAUACAUCUGUGUAAAGAAGAUUCAUAGCUCUGAGAACCUUCAAAAUUGGAUGAAAUUUAUAGUUACAUUGCUUAUUUAGCCUCCUUCUGUACUUUUAGGAAUAAUUUACUGCAUUGAGUUGAUUUCUUGUAUUUUUGGAAGUCAAAAACUUAAACUUCAACUUUUCCCCUGAAUCAAUGGUCAUCCUUGAAUGAACAUGCUGAAAGAUCUGGGAAGUUUAAGCAAGAUGUCCCCUGAGUGGGGUCCCGCAGUGCUGGAUGAUCUCUAUUCACCCCUGUCUUCUGCUGCUUGCCUUGGAGGUGCUGGUGGAGAGGUGAGAGGAAAAAAGAAGAUUCGUAACCGAAAAGCACAGACAAUAGACUUGAGCUAGUGUUUACUUUGGGCCGGUGGUGAAGGGAAAGAAGGAAAAAAAACCCUCUUUAAAAAGCCAUACACUGUAAAACCUGACAUCUGACUAACCUA
This 480-nucleotide long non-coding RNA is filed under the name Bos taurus (domestic cattle). Its description in RNAcentral is "long non-coding RNA NONBTAT025610". The record is from RNAcentral. Lineage: Eukaryota; Metazoa; Chordata; Mammalia; Artiodactyla; Bovidae.